UAUGCAUGUGAAUAUAUGUAAUAAAUAACUCAUAAAAGAGAAAGGAAUAUGUGAAAACAAUAACAGAUUAUUAAACGUGAAAAGAGGUCUGAAACGGUAGCAGAGUUAAUUGAAGCAGCGAAUUUAGUUCCAUAACUUAUUAUUUUUAGAAAUAAAAAAAAUAAAUUUUAAAUUAAUCUCUAAAUAAUAAGUAUUCACAAAAACGAACAAUUAUGGAUCACCUUAUUCACCAACGACUGUCCUUGUUAAAAGGAAGACUAUAGUUUUAUAAAAGAAUUUUAUAAAACAUAUUUACAAAUAAGUAAGAGUGUCCCUUCGCUCGGAAUCGGAAUGGAACAAUUCGGUGGUACCAGAAUCAAAAUUCGAGCCUCGCAGAUCGCCUUUGUAGUUUACCGAACACAGAAAAGAACAGGGAAUAAAAGACAAAAAUGAUGAAAAUAUUUUUAACAUAUUAGUGAGUGUGUUCUGAUGAAAAUGGAACCGAACAUAAUAUAAUUUGGAACAUAUUUACUUAUUAAUACUAACUAUGUCAGGGUACUAAACUGCAACCGGUUGAUGUGACGAUUCAAGAUCAUAUUUGACGGACAAUGUCAGGGUACAGGACUACAUUUUACAGACAAUGAGAAUGGUACUAGACUGCGGUUUAUGGACCAUGCGAGGAUACAAGACUACAUUUUGCGGACAAUGUGGGAAUCAGUGUAUCUUUUACGGAGAACAUGGAAAACUGCGUUAAAUUAUUUACGUAAAAACAUUUAUGCAAUAAAUACUAAAUUAGUCAAUGUUGCUUAAAUUAUAUCAUGUCCAAUGUCAUUUUAACCGGAAGAACCUAACAAAUACGAUAGAAAAGUAUUUUGCUAAGAAAAGUUAACAAAAAUUAAAAUAUUGUAUUCAAGCUUGUAAAGUCGAAAAGUUUCAUCGAAAGAGCCACGUGACAUAUCACAUUACAUACAUCACACGUGCGACUGAGUUCGAUUUAGAAAACAUAGGUAUAGCAAGAAUGAACACAAAAGCGUAGGCACAUUCGUAGAGAAAAUGUGAGGAUACCGUCAGUAGGGACAAUGUGGGAGAUAUUACUGUAUGUAAUUAUUAAUAUCGCUAAAGUAUACUAUCAGUUAAUCACUUGACAAUUGCAAAAUACACAAGGAUUAUUUUAAAUUCGAAACCUUUCUUUUCACAUACAUGGAAUCGUCUCGUUAUUCUACACAAAAGAAUAUUGGGUACCUUUACAUACAAGGAACUUUUCUAGUUUUUGCAUACAUGGAAUCCUUUUGCCGUUCUACGUGAAAAGUAUCACGAUUCAACGUCAAAGAAAUCAACCGUUCGUAAAAUGUUUUAAAUUUAAAAAUCUGGUAUUUCAUAUGUGAGUUUGAAAUAUCUGAUAUAUCUAUUGAUUUUUUAACAUAGAACUUCAAUAUUUUUUAUCCAGAAUGUUCCGUGCAAAAACAUAUACCGUUUCAUUUUUAAAAAGAGUAUAUAUACAUUUCGCAAUUUUUUAUCGAACUGUGUAUUUGCUUUUACACGACUUAAUUCUACAGAACAUUCUGUUAAAGUACAGUAUCAAAGAACUAACCAAUUAAAAGUUUCAAAUUUCUGUAUGAAAUAUCGCAUUUUUGCUGAUAAUACCUCAUGUACGGUUUUGAAUUAUUUUCAGUUGUGUAAUAAUAUCUCAUAGUCCUUGAUAUUAUAUUGUAAUACUUUUCAACGCAAAAUUACAGGCAGAUUUGUUGUAUGGUAAAACAGGACCAACCUUGAAUCAUUCAUCUUCUUUCUAUAAUAUUUUUCCGAAUUUCAAACAAUAAAAUGGUACGAUUUAUUUUAACUGUGUAAAUUUUUUAUCUUAAAAAUUUCUACUAAUUUGUAUCCUUACACUAGCAAUUAAAGUUAAAAUUUGAAUGUAUUAAGAAUGUUUCAAUGCACUUUUAUCUCGAAGACUUCUAAUAAAACCGAUACGAGGAAACCUA
Molecule: long non-coding RNA, 1961 nt
Organism: Megachile rotundata (alfalfa leafcutting bee)
Lineage: Eukaryota; Metazoa; Arthropoda; Insecta; Hymenoptera; Megachilidae
Source: RefSeq, a predicted model, not a curated record